This 73-nucleotide transfer RNA is filed under the name Ailuropoda melanoleuca (giant panda). It matches the Rfam family "tRNA". Rfam says of the family: Transfer RNA (tRNA) molecules are approximately 80 nucleotides in length. Their secondary structure includes four short double-helical elements and three loops (D, anti-codon, and T loops). Lineage: Eukaryota; Metazoa; Chordata; Mammalia; Carnivora; Ursidae. The record is from Rfam by way of RNAcentral.
GCCAGGCUGGCUCAGCAGGUAGAGUGUGGGACUCUUGAUCUCGGGGCUGUGAGUUCAAGCCCCAUGCUGGGCG